CUUGGGGUUUUUUCUCUCUCUCUCUCUCUCUCUCAAAAAUCUUUGUCUCUUUGGUUCAGCGGUCUCCUCUGCCCGACCGAAGGGGGUAUGCCCGACUUGCUUCUGGGCAAGAUUGUGUGCAUAAAUAAAUAUGUCAUCUUUUGUGGUGAAUUGGUUCAGAUUAAGGAGGGCAUUUUAGAUCCAUGGUUGAAUGAUUGUCUAGAUUAGCUUUGGGUGUUGCAUGCAAGAAGUGAGUGAACCUCAAGAAGAAGAUACUUAAUAGAAUCAGCUUGCUAAUAGUUUUGAAGGAAGAAGUUGUUCUUCUUAAACAGCAGUUGUGCUUAUUGUAUUAGAGGCGUGAGCAUCUUCUUCGCUCGUUGGUGAAUGGAAGGCUAUAGCGCGAGUGGGUCGUUGUUGAACUAAGUUAUAGACGCCCUCUAGGUGCUAAUGAUGUAGAUUGUUUCACCUGUUUUUGUGACCUCUGUUUCUCUGUUCGUCAUGGCCUCACCCACCUAUGAGUCUAUGUUGCUUGUGGUUGUUUUGAAUCCUAGA
Molecule: unclassified non-coding RNA, 531 nt
Filed under: Hevea brasiliensis (rubber tree)
Lineage: Eukaryota; Viridiplantae; Streptophyta; Magnoliopsida; Malpighiales; Euphorbiaceae
Source: RNAcentral